This 673-nucleotide ribosomal RNA is filed under the name Pterorthochaetes sp. NLG-2014. Its description in RNAcentral is "eukaryotic LSU rRNA". It matches the Rfam family "Eukaryotic large subunit ribosomal RNA", at positions 671 to 1265 of the family's 3401-position model. Lineage: Eukaryota; Metazoa; Arthropoda; Insecta; Coleoptera; Hybosoridae. The record is from RNAcentral.
GAGUCUAGCAUGUGCGCGAGUCAUUGGGACUCCGCGAAACCUAUAGGCGUAAUGAAAGUAAAAGUUUUUCCUAUUAAAACCUAGGGAGGAUGAGUCUUUCCUUUUUUAAGGGGGACGCCGCACUCCCGGGGCGUCUCGUUCUCAUCGCGAGAUGAGGCGCACCCAGAGCGUACACGCUGGGACCCGAAAGAUGGUGAACUAUGCCUGGUCAGGACGAAGUCAGGGGAAACCCUGAUGGAGGUCCGUAGCGAUUCUGACGUGCAAAUCGAUCGUCGGAACUGGGUAUAGGGGCGAAAGACUAAUCGAACCAUCUAGUAGCUGGUUCCCUCCGAAGUUUCCCUCAGGAUAGCUGGCGCUCGCUUAAUUUUAUAGCGAGUCUCAUUCGGUAAAGCGAAUGAUUAGAGGCAUUGGGGUCGAAACGGCCUCAACCUAUUCUCAAACUUUAAAUGGGUGAGAACUCCGGCUUGCUUAAAUAAUGAAGCCGCGAGUGUUGUAUAUAUAUUUAUAUAUAUAAAAUAAGGAUCAGAGUGCCAAGUGGGCCACUUUUGGUAAGCAGAACUGGCGCUGUGGGAUGAACCAAACGCAGAGUUAAAGCGCCUAAAUCGACGCUUAUGGGAUACCAUGAAAGGCGUUGGUAACUUAAGACAGCAGGACGGUGGCCAUGGAAGUCGGA